AGGAAUAUUGGUCAAUGGGCGCGAGCCUGAACCAGCCAAGUAGCGUGAAGGAUGAAGGUCCUACGGAUUGUAAACUUCUUUUAUAAGGGAAUAAAGUCACCCACGUGUGGGUGUUUGUAUGUACCUUAUGAAUAAGCAUCGGCUAACUCCGUGCCAGCAGCCGCGGUAAUACGGAGGAUGCGAGCGUUAUCCGGAUUUAUUGGGUUUAAAGGGAGCGUAGACGGGCCGUUAAGUCAGUUGUGAAAGUUUGCGGCUCAACCGUAAAAUUGCAGUUGAUACUGGCUGUCUUGAGUACAGUAGAGGUGGGCGGAAUUCGUGGUGUAGCGGUGAAAUGCUUAGAUAUCACGAAGAACUCCGAUUGCGAAGGCAGCUCACUGGACUGCAACUGACACUGAUGCUCGAAAGUGUGGGUAUCAAACAGGAUUAGAUACCCUGGUAGUCCACACAGUAAACGAUGAAUACUCGCUGUUUGCGAUAUACAGUAAGCGGCCAAGCGAAAGCAUUAAGUAUUCCACCUGGGGAGUACGCCGGCAACGGUGAAACUCAAAGGAAUUGACGGGGGCCCGCACAAGCGGAGGAACAUGUGGUUUAAUUCGAUGAUACGCGAGGAACCUUACCCGGGCUUAAAUUGCAGAUGAAUUACGGUGAAAGCCGUAAGCCGCAAGGCAUCUGUGAAGGUGCUGCAUGGUUGUCGUCAGCUCGUGCCGUGAGGUGUCGGCUUAAGUGCCAUAACGAGCGCAACCCUUGUUGUCAGUUACUAACAGGUUCCGCUGAGGACUCUGACAAGACUGCCAUCGUAAGAUGUGAGGAAGGUGGGGAUGACGUCAAAUCAGCACGGCCCUUACGUCCGGGGCUACACACGUGUUACAAUGGGGGGUACAGAGGGCCGCUACCACGCGAGUGGAUGCCAAUCCCCAAAACCUCUCUCAGUUCGGACUGGAGUCUGCAACCCGACUCCACGAAGCUGGAUUCGCUAGUAAUCGCGCAUCAGCCACGGCGCGGUGAAUACGUUCCCG
This 1016-nucleotide ribosomal RNA is filed under the name uncultured bacterium. RNAcentral describes it as "bacterial SSU rRNA". It matches the Rfam family "Bacterial small subunit ribosomal RNA", at positions 357 to 1376 of the family's 1533-position model. The record is from RNAcentral.